GACGAACGCUGGCGGCGUGCUUAACACAUGCAAGUCGAACGGUGAAGCGCCUUCCUUUUUGGUGGGUGUGGAUGAGUGGCGAACGGGUGAGUAACACGUGAGUAACCUGCCCCCUUCUUCUGGAUAACCGCAUGAAAGUGUGGCUAAUACGGGAUAUUCUGGGUCUGUCGCAUGAUGGGUCUGAGAAAGAUAUUGUUUCGGUGGGGGAUGGGCUCGCGGCCUAUCAGCUUGUUGGGGGGGUGAUGGCCUACCAAGGCGGUGACGGGUAGCCGGCCUGAGAGAGUGGACGGUCACACUGGGACUGAGACACGGCCCAGACUCCUACGGGAGGCAGCAGUGGGGAAUAUUGCACAAUGGGCGCAAGCCUGAUGCAGCGACGCCGCGUGAGGGAUGGAGGCCUUCGGGUUGUGAACCUCUUUCGCCAGUGAAGCAGGCCUGCCUCGUUUGUGGGUGGGUUGACGGUAGCUGGAUAAGAAGCGCCGGCUAACUACGUG
This 494-nucleotide ribosomal RNA is filed under the name uncultured bacterium. Its description in RNAcentral is "partial 16S ribosomal RNA". It matches the Rfam family "Bacterial small subunit ribosomal RNA", at positions 28 to 507 of the family's 1533-position model. The record is from RNAcentral.